This 170-nucleotide ribosomal RNA is filed under the name uncultured bacterium. RNAcentral's name for it is "partial 16S ribosomal RNA". It matches the Rfam family "Bacterial small subunit ribosomal RNA", at positions 1332 to 1500 of the family's 1533-position model. The record is from RNAcentral.
UCGCUAGUAAUCGCAAGUCAGCAUAUUGCGGUGAAUACGUUCCCGGGUCUUGUACACACCGCCCGUCACACCAUGGGAGUUGGCAACACCCGAAGUCGAUGAGCUAACCUUUUAGGAGGCAGUCGCCUAAGGUGGGGUUGAUAACUGGGGUGAAGUCGUAACAAGGUAUC